GGCCUCGUAGCUCAGCUGGCAGAGCAUGCGCGUACAAAGCGUAGGCGGCGUCCANGUUCGAAUCCCACCGAGGCUA
Molecule: transfer RNA, 76 nt
Filed under: Echinostoma caproni
Lineage: Eukaryota; Metazoa; Platyhelminthes; Trematoda; Plagiorchiida; Echinostomatidae
Rfam family: tRNA
About the family: Transfer RNA (tRNA) molecules are approximately 80 nucleotides in length. Their secondary structure includes four short double-helical elements and three loops (D, anti-codon, and T loops). Further hydrogen bonds mediate the characteristic L-shaped molecular structure. tRNAs have two regions of fundamental functional importance: the anti-codon, which is responsible for specific mRNA codon recognition, and the 3' end, to which the tRNAs corresponding amino acid is attached (by aminoacyl-tRNA synthetases). tRNAs cope with the degeneracy of the genetic code in two manners: having more than one tRNA (with a specific anti-codon) for a particular amino acid; and 'wobble' base-pairing, i.e. permitting non-standard base-pairing at the 3rd anti-codon position.
Source: Rfam by way of RNAcentral